CCUACGGGAGGCAGCAGUGGGGAAUUUUGGACAAUGGGCGCAAGCCUGAUCCAGCAAUGCCGCGCGCAGGAUGAAGGCCUUCGGGUUGUAAACUGCUUUUGUACGGAACGAAACGGCUCUUUCUAAUAAAGAGAGCUAAUGACGGUACCGUAAGAAUAAGCACCGGCUAACUACGUGCCAGCAGCCGCGGUAAUACGUAGGGUGCGAGCGUUAAUCGGAAUUACUGGGCGUAAAGCGUGCGCAGGCGGUUAUAUAAGACAGAUGUGAAAUCCCCGGGCUCAACCUGGGACCUGCAUUUGUGACUGUAUAGCUAGAGUACGGUAGAGGGGGAUGGAAUUCCGCGUGUAGCAGUGAAAUGCGUAGAUAUGCGGAGGAACACCGAUGGCGAAGGCAAUCCCCUGGACCUGUACUGACGCUCAUGCACGAAAGCGUGGGGAGCAAACAGGAUUAGAUACCCUGGUAGUCCACGCCCUAAACGAUGUCAACUGGUUGUUGGGUCUUCACUGACUCAGUAACGAAGCUAACGCGUGAAGUUGACCGCCUGGGGAGUCGGCCGCAGGUUGAAACUCAAAUGAAUUGACGGCUGAGAGNGCGACGGACGACGACGAGGGAGGAGG
This 617-nucleotide ribosomal RNA is filed under the name uncultured bacterium. RNAcentral describes it as "bacterial SSU rRNA". It matches the Rfam family "Bacterial small subunit ribosomal RNA", at positions 338 to 951 of the family's 1533-position model. The record is from RNAcentral.